This 312-nucleotide ribosomal RNA is filed under the name Triticum aestivum (bread wheat). Its description in RNAcentral is "partial small subunit ribosomal RNA". Lineage: Eukaryota; Viridiplantae; Streptophyta; Magnoliopsida; Poales; Poaceae. The record is from RNAcentral.
AUGUCGGGGCGCGGCAAGGGAGGCAAGGGUCUGGGCAAGGGCGGCGCCAAGCGCCACCGGAAGGUGCUGCGGGACAACAUCCAGGGCAUCACCAAGCCGGCGAUCCGGCGCCUGGCGCGGCGGGGCGGCGUGAAGCGCAUCUCGGGGCUCAUCUACGAGGAGACCCGCGGCGUGCUCAAGAUCUUCCUCGAGAACGUCAUCCGCGACGCCGUCACCUACACCGAGCACGCCCGCCGCAAGACCGUCACCGCCAUGGACGUCGUCUACGCCCUCAAGCGCCAGGGACGCACCCUCUACGGAUUCGGGGGCUAG